UAACACUGUGUAGUAACCUGCCCCAGACUCUGGGAUAACCCCGGGAAACCGGAGCUAAUACCGGAUAUGACAUCAACUCGCAUGAGUAUGGUGUGGAAAGUUUUUCGGUCUGGGAUGGACUCGCGGCCUAUCAGCUUGUUGGUGAGGUAGUGGCUCACCAAGGCGACGACGGGUAGCCGGCCUGAGAGGGCGACCGGCCACACUGGGACUGAGACACGGCCCAGACUCCUACGGGAGGCAGCAGUGGGGAAUAUUGCACAAUGGGCGGAAGCCUGAUGCAGCGACGCCGCGUGAGGGAUGACGGCCUUCGGGUUGUAAACCUCUUUCAGCAGGGAAGAAGCGCAAGUGACGGUACCUGCAGAAGAAGCACCGGCUAACUACGUGCCAGCAGCCGCGGUAAUACGUAGGGUGCGAGCGUUGUCCGGAAUUAUUGGGCGUAAAGAGCUUGUAGGUGGUUUGUCGCGUCUGCUGUGAAAAUCCGAGGCUCAACCUCGGACUUGCAGUGGGUACGGGCAGACUAGAGUGUGGUAGGGGAGACUGGAAUUCCUGGUGUAGCGGUGGAAUGCGCAAUAUCAGGAGGAACACCGAUGGCGAAGGCAGGUCUCUGGGCCAUUACUGACACUGAGAAGCGAAAGCAUGGGGAGCGAACAGGAUUAGAUACCCU
RNAcentral lists this ribosomal RNA (664 nucleotides) under Terrabacter sp. T2-YC6786. RNAcentral's name for it is "bacterial SSU rRNA". It matches the Rfam family "Bacterial small subunit ribosomal RNA", at positions 110 to 788 of the family's 1533-position model. The record is from RNAcentral. Lineage: Bacteria; Bacillati; Actinomycetota; Actinomycetes; Micrococcales; Intrasporangiaceae.